This 459-nucleotide ribosomal RNA is filed under the name uncultured bacterium. Its description in RNAcentral is "partial 16S ribosomal RNA". It matches the Rfam family "Bacterial small subunit ribosomal RNA", at positions 338 to 795 of the family's 1533-position model. The record is from RNAcentral.
CCUACGGGAGGCAGCAGUGAGGAAUAUUGGUCAAUGGCCGCAGGGCUGAACCAGCCAAGUCGCGUGAGGGAUGACGGUCCUAUGGAUUGUAAACCUCUUUAGUCAGGGAGCAAAGGGCGCCACGUGUGGCGCUGUGCGAGUACCUGAAGAAAAAGCAUCGGCUACAUCCGUGCCAGCAUCCGCGGUAAUACGGAGGAUGCGAGCGUUACCCGGAGUUAUUGGGUUGAAAGGGUGUGCAGGCGGAAUGUAAAGUCAGCGGUAAAAUUUCGGGGCUCAACCCCGUCGUGCCGUGGAAACUGGCGUUCUAGAGUGAGCGAGAGGUAUGCGGAAUGCGUGGUGUAGCGGUGAAAUGCAUAGAUAUCACGCAGAACUCCGAUUGCGAAGGCAGCAUACCGGCGCUCAACUGACGCUCAUGCACGAAAGCGUGGGUAUCGAACAGGAUUAGAUACCCUUGUAGUC